This 474-nucleotide long non-coding RNA is filed under the name Lonchura striata (white-rumped munia). RNAcentral's name for it is "domestica (Bengalese finch) lncRNA (ENSLSDG00000008025.1)". Lineage: Eukaryota; Metazoa; Chordata; Aves; Passeriformes; Estrildidae. The record is from RNAcentral.
CAGUCCUGAGCCACAAGCACAACCCCUGAAGUAGAAACCCACCCCACAAGUGAGUGAUCUCAAAGGCUUCUUGAACUCCAACCAAGCUGCAUGAGCUCAGAGCUGCUGCGGGAGUGAGGAGCCGGCGCUGGCCCGGCCGGACCCGCUGCUCCGGGGCAGGGAAGGUUUUUGGGCUUCUGGCAAUCCCCACAGCCAUGAAGUGGAGGUUCCUGUGCAUCGCCUGCCUGCUGGAGCUGGCUGGCUGCACUGCUGGGAGCACCACGGCCACCCCCAGCCCGGCGGGCACGGCCCUGGCAGCGAGGGACAGCGGCACAGGGACAGCCAGCAGUGCCACCGCUGCCAGCACAGCGCCGGGGGACACCAGCAGCGCCAGGCCCACCUCUGCUGGAGGUGCCGCCAGCCCGACGUCGCCGCGGCUCCUGGGGCAGCUGAGGACGAGCCCCCAGCCCAGCCCGGCCCCCACAGCGCUGCCGG